RNAcentral lists this unclassified non-coding RNA (332 nucleotides) under soil metagenome. RNAcentral describes it as "partial contains 5.8S ribosomal RNA, internal transcribed spacer 2, and large subunit ribosomal RNA". The stretch from base 1 to 120 matches the Rfam family "5.8S ribosomal RNA", at positions 35 to 154 of the family's 154-position model. The record is from RNAcentral.
GAUGAAGAACGCAGCGAAAUGCGAUAAGUAAUGUGAAUUGCAGAAUUCAGUGAAUCAUCGAAUCUUUGAACGCACAUUGCGCCCGCCAGUAUUCUGGCGGGCAUGCCUGUUCGAGCGUCAUUUCAACCCUCAAGCACAGCUUGGUGUUGGGACUCGCGUUAAUUCGCGUUCCCCAAAUUGAUUGGCGGUCACGUCGAGCUUCCAUAGCGUAGUAGUAAAACCCUCGUUACUGGUAAUCGUCGCGGCCACGCCGUUAAACCCCAACUCCUGAAUGUUGACCUCGGAUCAGGUAGGAAUACCCGCUGAACUUAAGCAUAUCAAUAAGCGGAGGA